GGGUUGUGAGGUUAAGCGACUAAGCGUACACGGUGGAUGCCCUGGCAGUCAGAGGCGAUGAAGGACGUGCUAAUCUGCGAUAAGCGUCGGUAAGGUGAUAUGAACCGUUAUAACCGGCGAUUUCCGAAUGGGGAAACCCAGUGUGAUUCGUCACACUAUCAUUAACUGAAUCCAUAGGUUAAUGAGGCGAACCGGGGGAACUGAAACAUCUAAGUACCCCGAGGAAAAGAAAUCAACCGAGAUUCCCCCAGUAGCGGCGAGCGAACGGGGAGCAGCCCAGAGCCUGAAUCAGUGUGUGUGUUAGUGGAAGCGUCUGGAAAGGCGCGCGAUACAGGGUGACAGCCCCGUACACAAAAAUACACAUAUUGUGAGCUCGAUGAGUAGGGCGGGACACGUGGUAUCCUGUCUGAAUAUGGGGGGACCAUCCUCCAAGGCUAAAUACUCCUGACUGACCGAUAGUGAACCAGUACCGUGAGGGAAAGGCGAAAAGAACCCCGGCGAGGGGAGUGAAAAAGAACCUGAAACCGUGUACGUACAAGCAGUGGGAGCACGCUUAGGCGUGUGACUGCGUACCUUUUGUAUAAUGGGUCAGCGACUUAUAUUCUGUAGCAAGGUUAACCGAAUAGGGGAGCCGAAGGGAAACCGAGUCUUAACUGGGCGUUAAGUUGCAGGGUAUAGACCCGAAACCCGGUGAUCUAGCCAUGGGCAGGUUGAAGGUUGGGUAACACUAACUGGAGGACCGAACCGACUAAUGUUGAAAAAUUAGCGGAUGACUUGUGGCUGGGGGUGAAAGGCCAAUCAAACCGGGAGAUAGCUGGUUCUCCCCGAAAGCUAUUUAGGUAGCGCCUCGUGAAUUCAUCUCCGGGGGUAGAGCACUGUUUCGGCAAGGGGGUCAUCCCGACUUACCAACCCGAUGCAAACUGCGAAUACCGGAGAAUGUUAUCACGGGAGACACACGGCGGGUGCUAACGUCCGUCGUGAAGAGGGAAACAACCCAGACCGCCAGCUAAGGUCCCAAAGUCAUGGUUAAGUGGGAAACGAUGUGGGAAGGCCCAGACAGCCAGGAUGUUGGCUUAGAAGCAGCCAUCAUUUAAAGAAAGCGUAAUAGCUCACUGGUCGAGUCGGCCUGCGCGGAAGAUGUAACGGGGCUAAACCAUGCACCGAAGCUGCGGCAGCGACGCUUAUGCGUUGUUGGGUAGGGGAGCGUUCUGUAAGCCUGCGAAGGUGUGCUGUGAGGCAUGCUGGAGGUAUCAGAAGUGCGAAUGCUGACAUAAGUAACGAUAAAGCGGGUGAAAAGCCCGCUCGCCGGAAGACCAAGGGUUCCUGUCCAACGUUAAUCGGGGCAGGGUGAGUCGACCCCUAAGGCGAGGCCGAAAGGCGUAGUCGAUGGGAAACAGGUUAAUAUUCCUGUACUUGGUGUUACUGCGAAGGGGGGACGGAGAAGGCUAUGUUGGCCGGGCGACGGUUGUCCCGGUUUAAGCGUGUAGGCUGGUUUUCCAGGCAAAUCCGGAAAAUCAAGGCUGAGGCGUGAUGACGAGGCACUACGGUGCUGAAGCAACAAAUGCCCUGCUUCCAGGAAAAGCCUCUAAGCAUCAGGUAACAUCAAAUCGUACCCCAAACCGACACAGGUGGUCAGGUAGAGAAUACCAAGGCGCUUGAGAGAACUCGGGUGAAGGAACUAGGCAAAAUGGUGCCGUAACUUCGGGAGAAGGCACGCUGAUAUGUAGGUGAAGUCCCUUGCGGAUGGAGCUGAAAUCAGUCGAAGAUACCAGCUGGCUGCAACUGUUUAUUAAAAACACAGCACUGUGCAAACACGAAAGUGGACGUAUACGGUGUGACGCCUGCCCGGUGCCGGAAGGUUAAUUGAUGGGGUCAGCGCAAGCGAAGCUCUUGAUCGAAGCCCCGGUAAACGGCGGCCGUAACUAUAACGGUCCUAAGGUAGCGAAAUUCCUUGUCGGGUAAGUUCCGACCUGCACGAAUGGCGUAAUGAUGGCCAGGCUGUCUCCACCCGAGACUCAGUGAAAUUGAACUCGCUGUGAAGAUGCAGUGUACCCGCGGCAAGACGGAAAGACCCCGUGAACCUUUACUAUAGCUUGACACUGAACAUUGAGCCUUGAUGUGUAGGAUAGGUGGGAGGCUUUGAAGUGUGGACGCCAGUCUGCAUGGAGCCGGCCUUGAAAUACCACCCUUUAAUGUUUGAUGUUCUAACGUGGACCCGUGAUCCGGGUUGCGGACAGUGUCUGGUGGGUAGUUUGACUGGGGCGGUCUCCUCCUAAAGAGUAACGGAGGAGCACGAAGGUUGGCUAAUCCUGGUCGGACAUCAGGAGGUUAGUGCAAUGGCAUAAGCCAGCUUGACUGCGAGCGUGACGGCGCGAGCAGGUGCGAAAGCAGGUCAUAGUGAUCCGGUGGUUCUGAAUGGAAGGGCCAUCGCUCAACGGAUAAAAGGUACUCCGGGGAUAACAGGCUGAUACCGCCCAAGAGUUCAUAUCGACGGCGGUGUUUGGCACCUCGAUGUCGGCUCAUCACAUCCUGGGGCUGAAGUAGGUCCCAAGGGUAUGGCUGUUCGCCAUUUAAAGUGGUACGCGAGCUGGGUUUAGAACGUCGUGAGACAGUUCGGUCCCUAUCUGCCGUGGGCGCUGGAGAACUGAGGGGGGCUGCUCCUAGUACGAGAGGACCGGAGUGGACGCAUCACUGGUGUUCGGGUUGUCAUGCCAAUGGCACUGCCCGGUAGCUAAAUGCGGAAGAGAUAAGUGCUGAAAGCAUCUAAGCACGAAACUUGCCCCGAGAUGAGUUCUCCCUGACCCUUUAAGGGUCCUGAAGGAACGUUGAAGACGACGACGUUGAUAGGCCGGGUGUGUAAGCGCAGCGAUGCGUUGAGCUAACCGGUACUAAUGAACCGUGAGGCUUAACCUUACAACGCCGAAG
This 2925-nucleotide ribosomal RNA is filed under the name Shigella sonnei. RNAcentral's name for it is "bacterial LSU rRNA". It matches the Rfam family "Bacterial large subunit ribosomal RNA". The record is from RNAcentral. Lineage: Bacteria; Pseudomonadati; Pseudomonadota; Gammaproteobacteria; Enterobacterales; Enterobacteriaceae.